This 1491-nucleotide ribosomal RNA is filed under the name metagenome. RNAcentral describes it as "bacterial LSU rRNA". It matches the Rfam family "Bacterial large subunit ribosomal RNA", at positions 1433 to 2925 of the family's 2925-position model. The record is from RNAcentral.
AUAUUCCUGUGGUGUUACUGCGAAGGGGACGGAGAAGGCUAUGUUGGCCGGGCGACGGUUGUCCCGGUUUAAGCGUGUAGGCUGGUUUUCCAGGCAAAUCCGGAAAAUCAAGGCUGAGGCGUGAUGACGAGGCACUACGGUGCUGAAGCAACAAAUGCCCUGCUUCCAGGAAAAGCCUCUAAGCAUCAGGUAACAUCAAAUCGUACCCCAAACCGACACAGGUGGUCAGGUAGAGAAUACCAAGGCGCUUGAGAGAACUCGGGUGAAGGAACUAGGCAAAAUGGUGCCGUAACUUCGGGAGAAGGCACGCUGAUAUGUAGGUGAAGCGACUUGCUCGUGGAGCUGAAAUCAGUCGAAGAUACCAGCUGGCUGCAACUGUUUAUUAAAAACACAGCACUGUGCAAACACGAAAGUGGACGUAUACGGUGUGACGCCUGCCCGGUGCCGGAAGGUUAAUUGAUGGGGUCAGCGCAAGCGAAGCUCUUGAUCGAAGCCCCGGUAAACGGCGGCCGUAACUAUAACGGUCCUAAGGUAGCGAAAUUCCUUGUCGGGUAAGUUCCGACCUGCACGAAUGGCGUAAUGAUGGCCAGGCUGUCUCCACCCGAGACUCAGUGAAAUUGAACUCGCUGUGAAGAUGCAGUGUACCCGCGGCAAGACGGAAAGACCCCGUGAACCUUUACUAUAGCUUGACACUGAACAUUGAGCCUUGAUGUGUAGGAUAGGUGGGAGGCUUUGAAGUGGACGCCAGUCUGCAUGGAGCCGACCUUGAAAUACCACCCUUUAAUGUUUGAUGUUCUAACGUGGACCCGUGAUCCGGGUUGCGGACAGUGUCUGGUGGGUAGUUUGACUGGGGCGGUCUCCUCCUAAAGAGUAACGGAGGAGCACGAAGGUNGCUAAUCCUGGUCGGACAUCAGGAGGUUAGUGCAAUGGCAUAAGCCAGCUUGACUGCGAGCGUGACGGCGCGAGCAGGUGCGAAAGCAGGUCAUAGUGAUCCGGUGGUUCUGAAUGGAAGGGCCAUCGCUCAACGGAUAAAAGGUACUCCGGGGAUAACAGGCUGAUACCGCCCAAGAGUUCAUAUCGACGGCGGUGUUUGGCACCUCGAUGUCGGCUCAUCACAUCCUGGAGCUGAAGUAGGUCCCAAGGUAUGGCUGUUCGCCAUUUAAAGUGGUACGCGAGCUGGGUUUAGAACGUCGUGAGACAGUUCGGUCCCUAUCUGCCGUGGGCGCUGGAGAACUGAGGGGCUGCUCCUAGUACGAGGACCGGAGUGGACGCAUCACUGGUGUUCGGGUUGUCAUGCCAAUGGCACUGCCCGGUAGCUAAAUGCGGAAGAGAUAAGUGCUGAAAGCAUCUAAGCACGAAACUUGCCUCGAGAUGAGUUCUCCUGACUCCUUGAGAGUCCUGAAGGAACGUUGAAGACGACGACGUUGAUAGGCCGGGUGUGUAAGCGCAGCGAUGCGUUGAGCUAACCGGUACUAAUGAACCGUGAGGCUU